CGCUGUCGUGAUCGGAGCAAAGCGAACUAUUCUUUCACCUUUUACUAAAGAGUACCGUGUGCUUGCCACAUCAAGCAGCAUACUCCUAUUUUUGGAGGGAUCAUCUAUAAUAGAAAGGU
This is a small nuclear RNA of Phragmites australis (common reed), 119 nucleotides long. RefSeq annotates it as U5 spliceosomal RNA. The transcript has a single exon. NCBI's taxonomy places the organism in Eukaryota, Viridiplantae, Streptophyta, Magnoliopsida, Poales, Poaceae. The record is from RefSeq and is a predicted model, not a curated record.